Hibiscus syriacus is the source of this 254-nucleotide long non-coding RNA. RefSeq lists it as uncharacterized. The record is from RefSeq and is a predicted model, not a curated record. The transcript has 4 exons. NCBI's taxonomy places the organism in Eukaryota, Viridiplantae, Streptophyta, Magnoliopsida, Malvales, Malvaceae.
UUCAAGUGAUAACAAUCAGGGUCGUCAGAUACCUGAAAGCUUUCUUGGGACUGAAAACAUUCACGAGGUUUCAAGUGAGUCAAAUAAUGUGGUUGCUGAGCAUCUUGAUCCUAAUUCACAUGAAACAUUUAGACUUUCAGGCGAUGAAAGUUGUACAUCUGUGCAGCCAUGUCAACAGCUUGGUGAAAACAAUGAGGACUCACUGGAUCUGCUGGUAUCACAUAAGCAUGUUGAUCCAAGUGAUAACAAUCAGG